ACUGAUAGGUCUUGAUUUUUCUCGUAUCAGGGAUUUAGUGGAGAAAGUGUGAUCAUGGGUGAUGAGUCUGAAGGAGGAAAAUCGCUUUUUCUCGUAGGAUCUUCCAGAUUUCAUCAAAUCUAGGGUGGAAUAAUUUAAAAAAAAUUUAUCCUAUAUAUAUUUCAGAUUUAAGUCUCUAGAUAUAAUCUUUAUAUCUAAUAUUAAGUCAAAUAAAUCUAAAAGAGAUGAGGAAACAAGUAAUACCUCAAGGGUAAUCUG
Molecule: long non-coding RNA, 258 nt
Filed under: Elaeis guineensis (African oil palm)
Lineage: Eukaryota; Viridiplantae; Streptophyta; Magnoliopsida; Arecales; Arecaceae
Description: long non-coding RNA (EGUI_LNC017289)
Source: RNAcentral